Papaver somniferum (opium poppy) is the source of this 1278-nucleotide long non-coding RNA. RefSeq lists it as uncharacterized. NCBI's taxonomy places the organism in Eukaryota, Viridiplantae, Streptophyta, Magnoliopsida, Ranunculales, Papaveraceae. The record is from RefSeq and is a predicted model, not a curated record. The transcript has 7 exons.
CUCCUAACUUGUGUGCAGUUGAUGCAAACUGUUGUUCAAAUGUCUAAUAAGGUGAAAUUGUUCAAAUGUCUAAUAAGGUGAAAUUUCUCCGAGCGGAGUUUCAUCAGUGUUUAAGCAAACUGCAAGUGUAUAAUACUAGUAUGUCUUAAUGUCUGCUAACAAUCGUGGAAGAGAAGAGAUGGGCUAGAUUAUUCCACUGUCAACUAAUUUUAAAGAUGUAAAACAAUGCUACGGAAGACACUAGCAAAGAUAUGCUUCUUCAGAUUCAGACAGUCAGAUGUUUGGUAGGGAAAGCUUAAGACGGCGACCAUUCAGUUUAGUCUAUUGAGAUGAGGCAUCUGGAGAAAUUAAUGAUGCAAAGACGCUGUUGGGGUUUGUCUACGUUUACUGUGUGGUCUUGAUGACAAAGUGGACUGUCAACCUGAGCAAAAGGCUUAUAGUAAGCACAAAGAAUCAUACUGUAACUAACAGCCGUACUGUUGGUUAAUUAUGCAUUCUCAGAGCUCCAGCUUAUUGAGAUGAGGCAUCUGGAGGAAAUAAUGAUUCAAAGGCGCUGUUGGGGUUUGUCCGUAAUCAAAAUUAGGUCAUUAAUUGUAAUUUAGGUGGCAUCUUGAUGACAAAUAGGACUGUCAAGCUGAGCAAAACGCUGACAGUAAGCACAAAGAAUCAGAUAGUAACUAGCAGCCGUCAGCUGUUGGAAAUUAUGCAUUCUCGGAGCGUGGAGCUGAUGAUUGUGUCUGCCAUUUGUUUAUGUUCUUAAGAAACAAGAAGGUGGUAGGCAUCGGCUGAUUUCACAGACUCACAAACCAGUUUUACAUGAGAACUACUGAUAUUUACUGGAAGAGUUGCUACACUUAUGAAUAUUAAAGAUGAGUCAAUAAAGCUUAUGACAGUUGAUUGUGUUAAGAUGCCUGUUGAGCUUGUAAUGCAUGUUGCUUGUUCUCAAGAUAUGGGGUUUGCUUUAAGAGAAAGUGGAAGAACUAUUGGAGCUGCUGAGUUCAGGUCUAUUAACUAUCGAGUGAAAUUUAAUAGUUCCCACAAUUCAUUGGUUCAUUUCCAGGUCUCAGUUUUUUUCAAAUCAAAUUGCGGUAUCAAGUUAAAAUGUACGUGGUGUGUCAUUUCACUUGGUUGUUCUGACAUCUUUCUUUGUCAUAUUUGCAGUUUUAUUCUAGUCUAUGUGUGGUUGUAUUUGAGUUUCGUUUAGUUAAAGAAUGAUGAACUGGUAAGGCUUUAGUCCAUCAAAUUCUAUCUGUUGUUUCUGUUCAGUUUGAUGUUUGU